RNAcentral lists this ribosomal RNA (484 nucleotides) under uncultured bacterium. Its description in RNAcentral is "partial 16S ribosomal RNA". It matches the Rfam family "Bacterial small subunit ribosomal RNA", at positions 30 to 507 of the family's 1533-position model. The record is from RNAcentral.
AUUGAACGCUGGCGGCAGGCCUAACACAUGCAAGUCGAGCGGAUGAAGGGAGCUUGCUCCUGGAUUCAGCGGCGGACGGGUGAGUAAUGCCUAGGAAUCUGCCUGGUAGUGGGGGAUAACGUCCGGAGACGGGCGCUAAUACCGCAUACGUCCUGAGGGAGAAAGUGGGGGAUCUUCGGACCUCACGCUAUCAGAUGAGCCUAGGUCGGAUUAGCUAGUUGGUGGGGUAAAGGCCUACCAAGGCGACGAUCCGUAACUGGUCUGAGAGGAUGAUCAGUCACACUGGAACUGAGACAAGGUCCAGACGCCUACGGGAGGCAGCAGUGGGGAAUAUUGGACAAUGGGCGAAAGCCUGAUCCAGCCAUGCCGCGUGUGUGAAGAAGGUCUUCGGAGUGUAAAGCACUUUAAGUUGGGAGGAAGGGCAGUAAGUUAAUACCUUGCUGUUUUGACGUUACCAACAGAAUAAGCACCGGCUAACUUCGUG